AACAGCGUGGCGGAAUUGGUAGACGCUAAUUUAGGGGUGUGAAUCGUAGAGUAGAUUGAUUACCUCGUUGCAAAGGUUAAAUCCCACCGAAUUGAAAACAUCAAUCGUGCAGGUUCGAGUCCUGCCGCUGUUG
This 133-nucleotide transfer RNA is filed under the name Cyanothece sp. SIO1E1. RNAcentral's name for it is "tRNA-OTHER". Lineage: Bacteria; Bacillati; Cyanobacteriota; Cyanophyceae; Gomontiellales; Cyanothecaceae. The record is from RNAcentral.